This is a long non-coding RNA of Pseudophryne corroboree (corroboree frog), 581 nucleotides long. RefSeq lists it as uncharacterized. NCBI's taxonomy places the organism in Eukaryota, Metazoa, Chordata, Amphibia, Anura, Myobatrachidae. The transcript is spliced from 4 exons. The record is from RefSeq and is a predicted model, not a curated record.
AUGUUCUUGCAGUCCUGGGAUAUGUCUCCCGCUGAAUGUGGUGUUGACUCUCCCCCUUCUACCCUGAUGGCCUACUUGUGAUGUGGACCACCCCACUGCGGUGUGACCAGGAGUACCCCUCAGGUUUCCCCGGGAUGUUCUUGAAGUUCUUGAUCCUCUCUUCAGUGUAAAGUGGCAUUGACACUCUCCCUCUAACCUGACAGCCUACAUGUGAUGCGAAAACCCCACUGCUGUGUGACCAGGAGAACCCCUCAGGUUUCUCUUGUAAGUUCUUAAACUCCUGGGACACCUCUACAGCUGAUUGUGGCAUUGACUCUCUCCCCUUCUACCAUGAUGGCCUACUUGUGAUGUGGACCCCCCCACUGAGGUGUAACCAGGAGUACCCCUCAGGUUUCCCUUGUAUGUACUUGAAGACCAUGAACCCCUCUACAGUGAAAAGUGGAGCUGACACCCCCCCUUCUACCAUGACGGCCUACUUGCAAUGUGCCUCCCCCCUGUGUCGUGAUGUGUUGCCCAAUAUUGUGUCCUAUCCCUACUAUUAACACUGUCCUGCCCAAAUUAAAUUUACAUUAGCAGUUAAA